RNAcentral lists this ribosomal RNA (492 nucleotides) under uncultured bacterium. RNAcentral's name for it is "partial 16S ribosomal RNA". It matches the Rfam family "Bacterial small subunit ribosomal RNA", at positions 29 to 507 of the family's 1533-position model. The record is from RNAcentral.
AGUGAACGCUGGCGGUAGGCCUAACACAUGCCAGUCGAACGGCAGCACAGUAAGAGCUUGCUCUUACGGGUGGCGAGUGGCGGACGGGUGAGGAAUACAUCGGAAUCUACUUUUUCGUGGGGGAUAACGUAGGGAAACUUACGCUAAUACCGCAUACGACCUACGGGUGAAAGCAGGGGAUCUUCGGACCUUGCGCGAUUGACUGAGCCGAUGUCGGAUUAGCUAGUUGGCGGGGUAAAGGCCCACCAAGGCGACGAUCCGUAGCUGGUCUGAGAGUAUGGUAGGCCGCCUGGGAAGGGGAACACCGUCAAGAGUCCUAAGGGAGGCAGCAGAGGGGAAUAUUGGACAAUGGUCGCAAGCAUGAUCCAGCCAUACCGAGUGGGUGACGAAGGCCUUCGGGUUGUAAAGCCCUUUUGUUGGGAAAGAAAAGCAGCAGGUUAAUACCCCGCUGUUCUGACGGUACCCAAAGAAUAAGCACCGGCUAACUUCGUG